This 424-nucleotide ribosomal RNA is filed under the name uncultured cyanobacterium. Its description in RNAcentral is "bacterial SSU rRNA". It matches the Rfam family "Bacterial small subunit ribosomal RNA", at positions 356 to 795 of the family's 1533-position model. Lineage: Bacteria; Bacillati; Cyanobacteriota. The record is from RNAcentral.
GGGGAAUCUUCCGCAAUGGGCGCAAGCCUGACGGAGCAAUACCGCGUGAGGGAGGAAGGCUUUUGGGUUGUAAACCUCUUUUCUCAAGGAAGAAGCCCUGACGGUACUUGAGGAAUCAGCAUCGGCUAACUCCGUGCCAGCAGCCGCGGUAAUACGGAGGAUGCAAGCGUUAUCCGGAAUUAUUGGGCGUAAAGCGUCCGCAGGUGGUGCAUCAAGUCGGCUGUCAAAGACUAGGGCUUAACCCUGGAGCGGCAGUGGAAACUGGUGGACUAGAGUACGGUAGGGGUAGAGGGAAUUCCCAGUGUAGCGGUGAAAUGCGUAGAGAUUGGGAAGAACACCAGUGGCGAAGGCGCUCUACUGGACCUGUACUGACACUCAGGGACGAAAGCUAGGGGAGCGAAAGGGAUUAGAUACCCCUGUAGUC